Molecule: ribosomal RNA, 857 nt
Filed under: uncultured bacterium
Lineage: Bacteria
Description: bacterial SSU rRNA
Rfam family: Bacterial small subunit ribosomal RNA
Source: RNAcentral
UACGUAGGGGGCAAGCGUUGUCCGGAAUGACUGGGCGUAAAGCGCGCGCAGGCGGUCUUUUAAGUCUGAGGUGAAAGGCUGGGGCUCAACCCUGGCAUCGCCUUGGAAACGGGAAGACUUGAGAACUGGAGAGGCAAGGGGAAUUCCACGUGUAGCGGGGAAAUGCGUAGAGAUGUGGAGGAAUACCAGUGGCGAGGGCGCCUUGCUGGACAGCGCCUGACGCUGAGGCGCGAAGGCGUGGGGAGCAAACAGGAUUAGAUACCCUGUUAGUCCACGCGGUAAACGAUGAGUGCUAGGUGCCGGAGGUCACCACCUCCGGUGCCGAAGGAAACCCAAUAAGCACUCCGCCUGGGGAGUACGGUCGCAAGACUGAAACUCAAAGGAAUUGACGGGGGCCCGCACAAGCAGUGGAGCAUGUGGUUUAAUUCGAAGCAACGCGAAGAACCUUACCAGGGCUUGACAUCCCCCUGACGGGCCGAGAGAUCGGUCGUCCCUUCGGGGCAGGGGAGACAGGUGGUGCAUGGUUGUCGUCAGCUCGUGUCGUGAGAUGUUGGGUUAAGUCCCGCAACGAGCGCAACCCUUGAUCAGUGUUACCAGCACGUAGUGGUGGGGACUCACUGAUGACUGCCGGUGACAAACCGGAGGAAGGCGGGGAUGACGUCAAAUCAUCAUGCCCCUUAUGUCCUGGGCCACACACGUGCUACAAUGGGCGGUACAACGGGAAGCAAGAGAGCGAUCUGGAGCGAAACCCUAAAAGCCGUUCGUAGUUCGGAUUGCAGGCUGCAACCCGCCUGCAUGAAGCCGGAAUUGCUAGUAAUCGCGGAUCAGCAUGCCGCGGUGAAUCCGUUCCCGGGCCU